Molecule: ribosomal RNA, 450 nt
Filed under: uncultured bacterium
Lineage: Bacteria
Description: partial 16S ribosomal RNA
Rfam family: Bacterial small subunit ribosomal RNA
Source: RNAcentral
AGCGAACAUUGGCGGUAGGCUUAACACAUGCAAGUCGAGCGAGGCGUAGUAGUCGAGCGGCGAACGGGUGAGUAAUACAUGGGAAUCUACCCUGAAGUGGGGGAUAACGUUCAGAAAUGGACGCUAAUACCGCAUAAUCCACAUUGAGAAAGCGUUGCAGCGCUUUAGGAUGAGCCCAUGGCUGAUUAGCUAGUUGGUGAGGUAAUGGCUCACCAAGGCGACGAUCAGUAGCUGGUCUGGGAGGAUGAUCAGCCACACUGGAACUGAGACACGGUCCAGACUCCUACGGGAGGCAGCAGUGGGGAAUCUUGCGCAAUGGGGGCAACCCUGACGCAGCCAUACCGCGUGAGUGAUGAAGGUCUUCGGAUUGUAAAGCUCUUUCGGCGGGGACGACGAUGACGGUACCCGCAAAAGAAGUCACGGCUAACUUCGUGCCAGCCGCCGCAGUAA